This 174-nucleotide small RNA is filed under the name Calothrix sp. RNAcentral's name for it is "c-di-AMP sequence". It matches the Rfam family "c-di-AMP riboswitch aptamer (ydaO/yuaA leader)". Rfam says of the family: This family represents a conserved RNA structure found upstream of the ydaO and yuaA genes in Bacillus subtilis and related genes in other bacteria. The ydaO/yuaA element is thought to act as a genetic "off" switch for the ydaO and yuaA genes in its native state. Lineage: Bacteria; Bacillati; Cyanobacteriota; Cyanophyceae; Nostocales; Calotrichaceae. The record is from RNAcentral. RNAcentral also lists the same sequence under 1 other name.
AGAGUAAGUCAGCCUAAUCUAACGAAUCUUUGGAAUCUCGUUAGAGCGGAGGAACCACCCUGUGGGGCGAAUCUUGGGAAAGUUGAAGGUAAAAAGCAUCCUCAUUACUUCCUAAGAGGGGCAUCUCUCAGCCCUAGCCCGUCAGCUAACUUCGUAGGCAUUGAGGGAGACUGA